CUCAGGGAACUCUGAAAAAGGAAAAACUACCAAAACCAAGAAGGACCCACCACACCUGUGGCCUCACACACUAAUAAGAUAGAAAGUGUAUUCCACAGUUAGUCUGCACCACUGGACACACAAAAAUCCAAUAAGGGUUACCUAAAGAGGUGAAGAGAUUAGGUAUAUUCUGGGGGCAGAGCUAACGGGCUUCAGGAGUGUUGACACAAAUGUUUGUUAUAUAGAAGUUCCCUUAUAAUUACUUCAUAAAUUGUAUGUCACUAUUUCAAGCACUUUUUUGUAUGUCUGUAAUAUUCAGGAAUUUCUUUUUAAAAAGAAAGAAAAACUCCUAGUUUACAAAUUCUUUAAAAUAAUCAUGUUGUAAAAUUCCUGAUUAGAAAAGACAUAUGCACCCCUAUGUUUAUUGCUGUACUGUUUGCAGUACCCAAGAUAUGGAAGCAAUCUAAGUAUCCAUCAACAGAAGAAUGAAUAAAAAAGAUGUGGUAUACAUACACAA
Long non-coding RNA from Manis pentadactyla (Chinese pangolin), 496 nucleotides. RefSeq lists it as uncharacterized. The transcript has 2 exons. NCBI's taxonomy places the organism in Eukaryota, Metazoa, Chordata, Mammalia, Pholidota, Manidae. The record is from RefSeq and is a predicted model, not a curated record.